Molecule: long non-coding RNA, 221 nt
Organism: Sphaeramia orbicularis (orbiculate cardinalfish)
Lineage: Eukaryota; Metazoa; Chordata; Actinopteri; Kurtiformes; Apogonidae
Exons: 2
Source: RefSeq, a predicted model, not a curated record
UUCCAGAUGGAUUAAGUGAUUCAAUAACCGGCAAAACGUUAAACCCAAACCGUCCACUUAAAGUACUGCGUCAUUUUAUUGUGCUAGAGCACAGUUUCUGAAUGUAUAUGAACUGUACUGCAGUUUCUUUUAACGCUCCACCAUACAUCAUCAGCCUGACUUGAAUAAAUUACCCUGAACUUUUAGUGUGAUGGAAACACAAAGUACACAGAUUACCAGGA